RNAcentral lists this ribosomal RNA (208 nucleotides) under Stenotrophomonas maltophilia. RNAcentral's name for it is "partial 16S ribosomal RNA". It matches the Rfam family "Bacterial small subunit ribosomal RNA", at positions 1 to 210 of the family's 1533-position model. Lineage: Bacteria; Pseudomonadati; Pseudomonadota; Gammaproteobacteria; Lysobacterales; Lysobacteraceae. The record is from RNAcentral.
AGUUUUAAGUGAAGAGUUUGAUCCUGGCUCAGAGUGAACGCUGGCGGUAGGCCUAACACAUGCAAGUCGAACGGCAGCACAGGAGAGCUUGCUCUCUGGGUGGCGAGUGGCGGACGGGUGAGGAAUACAUCGGAAUCUACUUUUUCGUGGGGGAUAACGUAGGGAAACUUACGCUAAUACCGCAUACGACCUACGGGUGAAAGCAGGG